RNAcentral lists this unclassified non-coding RNA (284 nucleotides) under Hevea brasiliensis (rubber tree). Lineage: Eukaryota; Viridiplantae; Streptophyta; Magnoliopsida; Malpighiales; Euphorbiaceae. The record is from RNAcentral.
GGCAACUUUUCCUCAUUGCUGAGAAGCUUAUUGACAACUUGAUUAAGCUCUUUUGGACUAGCGUUUUCAGGGAGGUACAAGGCAGCACCCAACGGAUUCCCUUCUGGGUCAGCCAACUGACAUAUGACACUGUUGGUUGCUUCUCUCUCUGCCGCCGCCGCAGCUUCCACUUCCACUUCCAUCGUUUCUGCCAUUAAUCUCCGCUUACAAAUUUUUGGUUAAGACUACUAUUGACUCUUUAAGAGGAAAAACAACAGAGGUUUUAGUAGGGUUUUGAAUAUGUU